This 760-nucleotide ribosomal RNA is filed under the name uncultured Methanosarcinaceae archaeon. RNAcentral's name for it is "SSU rRNA". It matches the Rfam family "Archaeal small subunit ribosomal RNA", at positions 102 to 859 of the family's 1478-position model. Lineage: Archaea; Methanobacteriati; Methanobacteriota; Methanomicrobia; Methanosarcinales; Methanosarcinaceae. The record is from RNAcentral.
GGAUAACCUGCCCUUGGUCCGGGCAUAACCCCGGGAAACUUGGGAAUAAUACCGGAUAACGCACAUAUGCUGGAAUGCUUUAUGCGUAAAAUGGAUUCGUCUGCCCAAGGAUGGGUCUGCGGCCUAUCAGGUAGUAGUGGGUGUAAUGUACCUACUAGCCUACAACGGGUACGGGUUGUGAGAGCAAGAGCCCGGAGAUGGAUUCUGAGACAUGAAUCCAGGCCCUACGGGGCGCAGCAGGCGCGAAAACUUUACAAUGCGGGAAACCGUGAUAAGGGGACACCGAGUGCUAGCAUCAUAUGCUGGCUGUCCAGGUGUGUAAAAUACACCUGUUAGCAAGGGCCGGGCAAGACCGGUGCCAGCCGCCGCGGUAACACCGGCGGCCCGAGUGGUGAUCGUGAUUAUUGGGUCUAAAGGGUCCGUAGCCGGUUUGGUCAGUCCUCCGGGAAAUCUGAUAGCUCAACUAUUAGGCUUUCGGGGGAUACUGCCAGACUUGGAACCGGGAGAGGUAAGAGGUACUACAGGGGUAGGAGUGAAAUCUUGUAAUCCCUGUGGGACCACCUGUGGCGAAGGCGUCUUACCAGAACGGGUUCGACGGUGAGGGACGAAAGCUGGGGGCACGAACCGGAUUAGAUACCCGGGUAGUCCCAGCCGUAAACGAUGCUCGCUAGGUGUCAGGCAUGGCGCGACCGUGUCUGGUGCCGCAGGGAAGCCRUGAAGCGAGCCACCUGGCAAGUACGGCCGCAAGGCUGAAACUUAA